Molecule: non-coding RNA, 73 nt
Organism: Stegodyphus dumicola
Lineage: Eukaryota; Metazoa; Arthropoda; Arachnida; Araneae; Eresidae
Source: the annotation of a RefSeq genome assembly
GCUUUUGUAGUGUAAUUGGAAGCAUGCUCGACGUAUAUUCGAGAUGUCCAGGGUUCGAGUCCCGGCGAGAGCA